GGGGCUGUGGCUCAGCGGCAGAGCAUCUGCUUGGCAUGCAAAACGUCACCGGUUCAGUCAUCGACACCAGCAUCUCCAGCUUUA
This 84-nucleotide transfer RNA is filed under the name Sphaerodactylus townsendi. RNAcentral's name for it is "tRNA-Ala". The record is from RNAcentral. Lineage: Eukaryota; Metazoa; Chordata; Lepidosauria; Squamata; Sphaerodactylidae.